RNAcentral lists this ribosomal RNA (52 nucleotides) under Marinobacter gudaonensis. RNAcentral's name for it is "partial 23S rRNA. Bacterial LSU". Lineage: Bacteria; Pseudomonadati; Pseudomonadota; Gammaproteobacteria; Pseudomonadales; Marinobacteraceae. The record is from RNAcentral.
CGCUGCGAGGCGUUGAGCUAACCGGUACUAAUUGCUCGUGCGGCUUGACUAU